GGAUAUAGCUCAGUUGGUAGAGUGCCUGCCUAGCAUGCAUAAGAUCCCUGGGUUCAAACCCAGCACCA
RNAcentral lists this transfer RNA (68 nucleotides) under Marmota monax (woodchuck). Its description in RNAcentral is "tRNA.Ala". Lineage: Eukaryota; Metazoa; Chordata; Mammalia; Rodentia; Sciuridae. The record is from RNAcentral.